CCUACGGGGGGCAGCAGUGGGGGAUAUUGCACAAUGGGGGAAACCCUGAUGCAGCGACGCCGCGUGAGUGAAGAAGUAUUUCGGUAUGUAAAGCUCUAUCAGCAGGGAAGAAAAUGACAGUACCUGACCAAGAAGCCCCGGCUAACUACGUGCCAGCAGCCGCGGUAAUACGUAGGGGGCAAGCGUUAUCCGGAUUUAUUGGGUUUAAAGGGUGCGUAGGCGGAAUGCCAAGUCAGCGGUAAAAUCGCGGGGCUCAACCUCGCUCCGCCGUUGAAACUGGCGUUCUUGAGUGGGCGAGAAGUAUG
Molecule: ribosomal RNA, 305 nt
Filed under: uncultured bacterium
Lineage: Bacteria
Description: bacterial SSU rRNA
Rfam family: Bacterial small subunit ribosomal RNA
Source: RNAcentral